This 179-nucleotide small RNA is filed under the name Pelobates cultripes (western spadefoot toad). Lineage: Eukaryota; Metazoa; Chordata; Amphibia; Anura; Pelobatidae. The record is from RNAcentral.
GUGAAAGAGAGAGAGACAGAGAGAGAGAGGGGGAAAAAGAAAGAGAGAGAAAAGCACCCAGCAGCCCUCUAUCUCUCUCUUUUGUUUUCUCACCUCCUCCCCUCCUCCAACAAGUUUUCUUUCUUUCUCUCUCUCUCUCUCUCUCUCUCUCUCUGCUUUAGACCGGGUUUUUUUUUCUC